AGCCCCGUACACAAAAAUGCACAUGCUGUGAGCUCGAUGAGUAGGGCGGGACACGUGGUAUCCUGUCUGAAUAUGGGGGGACCAUCCUCCAAGGCUAAAUACUCCUGACUGACCGAUAGUGAACCAGUACCGUGAGGGAAAGGCGAAAAGAACCCCGGCGAGGGGAGUGAAAAAGAACCUGAAACCGUGUACGUACAAGCAGUGGGAGCACAGAGCAAUCUGUGUGACUGCGUACCUUUUGUAUAAUGGGUCAGCGACUUAUAUUCUGUAGCAAGGUUAACCGAAUAGGGGAGCCGAAGGGAAACCGAGUCUUAACUGGGCGUUAAGUUGCAGGGUAUAGACCCGAAACCCGGUGAUCUAGCCAUGGGCAGGUUGAAGGUUGGGUAACACUAACUGGAGGACCGAACCGACUAAUGUUGAAAAAUUAGCGGAUGACUUGUGGCUGGGGGUGAAAGGCCAAUCAAACCGGGAGAUAGCUGGUUCUCCCCGAAAGCUAUUUAGGUAGCGCCUCGUGAAUUCAUCUCCGGGGGUAGAGCACUGUUUCGGCAAGGGGGUCAUCCCGACUUACCAACCCGAUGCAAACUGCGAAUACCGGAGAAUGUUAUCACGGGAGACACACGGCGGGUGCUAACGUCCGUCGUGAAGAGGGAAACAACCCAGACCGCCAGCUAAGGUCCCAAAGUCAUGGUUAAGUGGGAAACGAUGUGGGAAGGCCCAGACAGCCAGGAUGUUGGCUUAGAAGCAGCCAUCAUUUAAAGAAAGCGUAAUAGCUCACUGGUCGAGUCGGCCUGCGCGGAAGAUGUAACGGGGCUAAACCAUGCACCGAAGCUGCGGCAGCGACACUAUGUGUUGUUGGGUAGGGGAGCGUUCUGUAAGCCUGUGAAGGUGUGCUGUGAGGCAUGCUGGAGGUAUCAGAAGUGCGAAUGCUGACAUAAGUAACGAUAAAGCGGGUGAAAAGCCCGCUCGCCGGAAGACCAAGGGUUCCUGUCCAACGUUAAUCGGGGCAGGGUGAGUCGACCCCUAAGGCGAGGCCGAAAGGCGUAGUCGAUGGGAAACAGGUUAAUAUUCCUGUACUUGGUGUUACUGCGAAGGGGGGACGGAGAAGGCUAUGUUGGCCGGGCGACGGUUGUCCCGGUUUAAGCGUGUAGGCUGGUUUUCCAGGCAAAUCCGGAAAAUCAAGGCUGAGGCGUGAUGACGAGGCACUACGGUGCUGAAGCAACAAAUGCCCUGCUUCCAGGAAAAGCCUCUAAGCAUCAGGUAACAUCAAAUCGUACCCCAAACCGACACAGGUGGUCAGGUAGAGAAUACCAAGGCGCUUGAGAGAACUCGGGUGAAGGAACUAGGCAAAAUGGUGCCGUAACUUCGGGAGAAGGCACGCUGAUAUGUAGGUGAAGCGACUUGCUCGUGGAGCUGAAAUCAGUCGAAGAUACCAGCUGGCUGCAACUGUUUAUUAAAAACACAGCACUGUGCAAACACGAAAGUGGACGUAUACGGUGUGACGCCUGCCCGGUGCCGGAAGGUUAAUUGAUGGGGUCAGCGCAAGCGAAGCUCUUGAUCGAAGCCCCGGUAAACGGCGGCCGUAACUAUAACGGUCCUAAGGUAGCGAAAUUCCUUGUCGGGUAAGUUCCGACCUGCACGAAUGGCGUAAUGAUGGCCAGGCUGUCUCCACCCGAGACUCAGUGAAAUUGAACUCGCUGUGAAGAUGCAGUGUACCCGCGGCAAGACGGAAAGACCCCGUGAACCUUUACUAUAGCUUGACACUGAACAUUGAGCCUUGAUG
This 1780-nucleotide ribosomal RNA is filed under the name Escherichia coli. RNAcentral's name for it is "partial 23S ribosomal RNA". It matches the Rfam family "Bacterial large subunit ribosomal RNA", at positions 369 to 2136 of the family's 2925-position model. Lineage: Bacteria; Pseudomonadati; Pseudomonadota; Gammaproteobacteria; Enterobacterales; Enterobacteriaceae. The record is from RNAcentral.